AUGGGCUCUUCCCGAGGUAACCGCAACGUGAGGGCACGGCGGGCCGUGAAGGCCAUGAAGCUCCUCGGCAUCUCCAGGGAGCAGACCGCCCCCGUCCUCAGGCGCCUGGUCGAGCUCUACGACGACAACUGGCAGCUCAUCGAGGCCGAGUCCUACCGCGCCCUCGCCGACGCCAUCUUCGACGAGCAGGCCAACGGCGGCCCAGCCAAUGGCGGGGAUCAGGUGCAGGGGCAGGAGGAGCUCGAUCUGGAGCUGGAGGAGACGGGCACCAUGCCGGAAAUGUUCACGCCGGAGGAUGACGACCAGCGCCCUUCCACCUCCCUCGCCGUCGUCCGCAAGGACCCGGAUAACCGCAUCACCGCACCACGCUCGAGGACUGGUUCCAGAGCAAACCCCCUUGGCCCUGACCCAACUCAAGCCGCUUCGCCUACACAGACCAGAGCGCUGAGCAAGCGGAGGCAGAUGCAGAUGCAGAUGAUGGAUGGAGAUUUUCAGCAGCCUGUCUUCCUGAGAGAGCCCAAGCCUGAACCUGUCGACAUGGAUGCGGUGGACUGUCUGAAUGUGCAACCUGGCUUGAUUCAUCGUUCGCGCAAGCGCAGUGCGCCCUCCUCAGAGUUUCUGGCAUUGCCUCCGCCUGAACAAACUCCUACACAGAUUUCAGAAGGUGAUAAAAACAGGACAACUCAGCAUUGCAGAAAUAGGGAAAUGCCUACUUUAUCGGUAGAGCCAGCAAACAGCACAAUGAACAAUGGAACGGGAUCUGGAGAUGGAAAUGUGCAGGAAGCACCUUGUUUAGAUGUUGAUAUAGCAUCAUCCCCUAGGGGUGAUGUUAAGAUGUCUCUGAAAUUCUGUAUAGACCCAUCAAAGUUCCACAUGCCUGCUUUAGAAGCAGUUUUAAAGAUGGUUGAGGACAAAUGUCUUCGCUCUCACAAGGUUCUUCCUCCUGAUUUUUCCAUUCGCGGCCUCAUGACUGAGAUGUGCCAGUGUGUUGUGCAACUGGGCACUAAACAUACUGCAGAGCAUAAUACGCAAUCAGAUACUGUCGGUAAUGGCAGCUUGUCAGAGAAUGCUAUAAGUAGGAAACGGAAAGCUAGAGGAGAACCGUUGGUUUCGAAAGGCUCGGAGAGUGGUCCAGCAAAUUCAACCCUUGCCCAGCAACACCAUUUGGCACUUUCUGUAUCGAAGACUAUCCAUGACAUAACUGAUAUAUCCAAGGGAGAAGAAAAUGUGAGGAUAUCGAUUGCAGAUGAAUCUGGCAGAGAGAAAUGCCCACCUUCCUUUUAUUAUAUGCCAACAAACGCUGUAUCCCAGAAUGCUCUUGUUAGCAUGUUUCUUGCAAAGAUUGGCAGUGAAGACUGUUGUCCUGAAUGCUUUGGCAACUGCUUGUCCGCACCUGCACCAUGUGCUUGUGCAAGAGAAACUGGGGGUGAAUAUGCAUACACACUGGACGGUUUGGUUAAGCCAGCAUUCAUUGAUGAAUGUGUCUCUAUGAACCGAUUCCCAGAAGAACAUCACAGGGUGUUUUGUAAAACUUGCCCGCUUGAGAGGUCUAGAAACAAAGCUUCACCAGAGCCUUGCAGGGGCCACCUUGUUAGGAAAUUCAUCAAGGAAUGCUGGAGCAAAUGUGGCUGUAACAUGCAAUGCGGUAACCGUGUGGUUCAGCGUGGCAUAAGAUGCAAUCUGCAGGUGUUCUUUGCCGAAGAAGGGAGGGGUUGGGGGCUCCGCACACUCGAUGAUUUGCCAAAAGGCACUUUUGUUUGUGAAUAUGCUGGGGAGAUACUAACAAAUACAGAACUGCAUGAAAGGGCCAUUCAAAAUAUGCAGAAUGCUAGGUAUACACAUCCAAUACUUUUGGAUGCCGGUUGGUGUUCUGGAGGGGAGCCGAAGGAUGAAGAGGCUUUAUGCCUAGAUGGAACAUUCUAUGGGAAUGUUGGCAGAUUCAUCAACCACAGAUGCUGUGAUGCAAAUCUAGCCAUGAUUCCUGUUGAAGUGGAGACUCCUGAUCAUCAGUAUUAUCAUGUUGCAUUCUUCACAAGCAAGAAGGUGGAGGCUUUUGAGGAACUGACAUGGGACUACGGCAUCGAUUUCGACGACGAGAGGCAGCCCAUGAAGCCGUUCGAGUGCCUGUGCGGAAGCAGAUACUGCCGGGGAGGUCGGCGUCACCUCCUAAGGAAGGAGAGGAGGAGGAGUAGAGUUACCGGUACCGCGGGACGAGCUGAGGUGUUAGAAGGUUGUUGA
This 2238-nucleotide ribosomal RNA is filed under the name Triticum aestivum (bread wheat). RNAcentral describes it as "partial small subunit ribosomal RNA". The record is from RNAcentral. Lineage: Eukaryota; Viridiplantae; Streptophyta; Magnoliopsida; Poales; Poaceae.